This is a long non-coding RNA of Gallus gallus (chicken), 346 nucleotides long. Lineage: Eukaryota; Metazoa; Chordata; Aves; Galliformes; Phasianidae. The record is from Ensembl.
CUUUUUCUCUCUUUGUUUAUUAAACUGACAUUAUCUUGACCUACGAAAUCUUUCUCACAUGCAGCCUUCCAAGUCUCUCCCCCAUCCAGAUGCAGCAAGUGAACAAGUAGGGGGUGCACAGAGAACAACAUCCCAUGAGUGAAGAUGUACAGACGAGCUCUCCUGGUGAAAAUGCACUGGGGAAAUGAUGAGAUGGACAAAGAUGGGAGAGAAAAUCUUCACAGCAGCAGUAAGACAAGCAGAGAAGGAAAGACAGAUGGGCUGAAGAUUGGAGUAAAGACUAUUUAAAUAAAAAAUUAUGAAAGGGAAUUUGGUAAAGGAAAGAGCCCUCGCUGAUGCAUUUCUC